GCAUAUCAAUAAGCGGAGGAAAAGAAACCAACAGGGAUUGCCCUAGUAACGGCGAGUGAAGCGGCAACAGCUCAAAUUUGAAAUCUGGCGUCUUUGGCGUCCGAGUUGUAAUUUGCAGAGGGCGCUUUGGCAUUGGCAGCGGUCCAAGUUCCUUGGAACAGGACGUCACAGAGGGUGAGAAUCCCGUACGUGGUCGCUAGCCUUUACCGUGUAAAGCCCCUUCGACGAGUCGAGUUGUUUGGGAAUGCAGCUCUAAAUGGGAGGUAAAUUUCUUCUAAAGCUAAAUACUGGCCAGAGACCGAUAGCGCACAAGUAGAGUGAUCGAAAGAUGAAAAGCACUUUGGAAAGAGAGUUAAAAAGCACGUGAAAUUGUUGAAAGGGAAGCGCUUGCAGCCAGACUUGCCUGUAGUUGCUCAUCUGGGUUUUUACCCAGUGCACUCUUCUAUAGGCAGGCCAGCAUCAGUUUGGGCGGUUGGAUAAAGGUCUCUGUCAUGUACCUCUCUUCGGGGAGAACUUAUAGGGGAGACGACAUGCAACCAGCCUGGACUGAGGUCCGCGCAUCUGCUAGGAUGCUGGCGUAAUGGCUGUAAGCGGCCCGUCUUGAAACACGGACCAAGGAGUCUAACAUCUAUGCGAGUGUUUGGGUGUCAAGCCCGAGCGCGUAAUGAAAGUGAACGGAGGUGGGAACCUUUCGGGGUGCACCAUCGACCGAUCCUGAUGUCUUCGGAUGGAUUUGAGUAAGAGCAUAGCUGUUGGGACCCGAAAGAUGGUGAACUAUGCUUGAAUAGGGUGAAGCCAGAGGAAACUCUGGUGGAGGCUCGCAGCGGUUCUGACGUGCAAAUCGAUCGUCAAAUUUGGGCAUAGGGGCGAAAGACUAAUCGAACUAUCUAGUAGCUGGUUCCUGCCGAA
This 909-nucleotide ribosomal RNA is filed under the name Ascochyta medicaginicola. Its description in RNAcentral is "LSU rRNA". It matches the Rfam family "Eukaryotic large subunit ribosomal RNA", at positions 38 to 965 of the family's 3401-position model. Lineage: Eukaryota; Fungi; Ascomycota; Dothideomycetes; Pleosporales; Didymellaceae. The record is from RNAcentral.